GCGGCGUGCCUAAUACAUGCAAGUCGAGCGAUGAGGCUCCUUCGGGAGUACAUCAGCGGCGAACGGGUGAGUAACACGUGGGUGACUUGCCCCGAAGAUGGGGAUAACCGCUGGAAACGGGGGCUAAUACCCAAUGUGCUCGGUGAUUCGGUUCAUCGAGUAAAGCUCCGGCGCUUCGGGAGAGGCCUGCGGCCCAUCAGCUAGUUGGUAGGGUAACGGCCUACCAAUGCAGAGACGGGUAGGGGGCGUGAGAGCGCGGACCCCCACACUGGCACUGAGAUACGGGCCAGACUCCUACGGGAGGCAGCAGUAAGGGAUAUUGCGCAAUGGACGAAAGUCAGACGCAGCGACGCCGCGUGGGCGAUGAAGGCCUUCGGGUUGUAAAGCCCUUUUAUGGGGGAAGAGAAAAAGGACGGUACCCAAGGAAUAAGUCCCGGCUAACUACGUGCCAGCAGCCGCGGUAAGACGUAGGGGACAAGCGUUAUCCGGAUUCACUGGGCGUAAAGAGCGUUGAGGCGGUUCCGUAAGUUGGGCGUGAAAGCUCCGGGCUUAACUCGGAGAUGUCGUUCAAUACUGCGGGGCUUGAGGACAGCAGAGGAAGGUGGAAUUCCCGGUGUAGUGGUGAAAUGCGUAGAUAUCGGGAGGAACACCCGUGGCGAAGGCGGCCUUCUGGGCUGUUCCUGACGCUGAAGGCGAAAGCUAGGGGAGCGAACGGGAUUAGAUACCCCGGUAGUCCUAGCUGUAAACGAUGGAUGCUGGGUGUGGGGGGUGUAAAUUCCCUCUGUGCCGAAGCAAACGCGUUAAGCAUCCCGCCUGGGGACUACGGCCGCAAAGGCUAAAACUCAAACGAAUUGACGGGGGCCCGCACAAAGCAGCGGAGCGUGUGGUUUAAUUCGAUGCUACACGAGGAACCUUACCUGGGUUUGACAUGCACGU
This 936-nucleotide ribosomal RNA is filed under the name uncultured organism. Its description in RNAcentral is "bacterial SSU rRNA". It matches the Rfam family "Bacterial small subunit ribosomal RNA", at positions 39 to 993 of the family's 1533-position model. The record is from RNAcentral.